Molecule: ribosomal RNA, 279 nt
Filed under: Triticum aestivum (bread wheat)
Lineage: Eukaryota; Viridiplantae; Streptophyta; Magnoliopsida; Poales; Poaceae
Description: partial small subunit ribosomal RNA
Source: RNAcentral
AUGGCGUCCUGCAAGCCUGUCAUCGUCCUCGCCGCCCUCCUCCUCACCGCCCUCGUCAUUCCUACGGAUGCGCAGCAGACACCACAUAUAGAUUGCCUGUCAGCAUGCAAUGCUCGUUGCUCGAAGAACUGGAGGAACAAGAUAUGUAACAAGGACUGCAAUAUUUGUUGCGACAAGUGUAACUGCAUCCCUUCCGGCACCGGCCAGGAGACCCGUAAUGAAUGCCCCUGCUACGCCAACUUGGUCGACUCAAAGACCGGCAAGCUCAAGUGCCCGUAG